RNAcentral lists this ribosomal RNA (253 nucleotides) under uncultured bacterium. RNAcentral describes it as "partial 16S ribosomal RNA". It matches the Rfam family "Bacterial small subunit ribosomal RNA", at positions 524 to 776 of the family's 1533-position model. The record is from RNAcentral.
UACGGGGGGGGCAAGCGUUGUUCGGAAUUACUGGGCGUAAAGGGCUCGUAGGUGGCCAACUAAGUCAGACGUGAAAUCCCUCGGCUUAACCGGGGAACUGCGUCUGAUACUGGAUGGCUUGAGUUUGGGAGAGGGAUGCGGAAUUCCAGGUGUAGCGGUGAAAUGCGCAGAUAUCAGGAGGAACACCGAUGGCGAAGGCAGGUCUCUGGGCUGUAACUGACGCUGAGGAGCGAAAGCAUGGGGAGCGAACAGG